This 736-nucleotide long non-coding RNA is filed under the name Equus caballus (horse). RNAcentral's name for it is "lncRNA (ENSECAG00000056311.1)". Lineage: Eukaryota; Metazoa; Chordata; Mammalia; Perissodactyla; Equidae. The record is from RNAcentral.
CCGGAAUAUAAAAGAAGAGAUGUACAGUUUUUUUAGCUCCGUUUCAUGGGUGUGCUGGCAGGAGGUGGAGCAGCCAUAUUGACCCAUGAGGUAGAAGAUGAGUGUUGAGGAUACAGAGAAACAAGAUAGCAGGAGCCUGGAUCCCUAAUGACUUCGCCGAGAAGAGGCACCAUGCCAGCUCAGACUUGGACAGAGCGAACCGUCCUCCUGGAGAAAACAUCGCCACCUCACCCCUGGGCCCUGGGGAAGCUGGGAGUGGCUUUGCCUCUGUUUGAAGAAGGAAGGUGCUACCCGAAGGGGCUGGCCUGCAGGACACCCUCAAAGGAGGACCCUGGAGGCACAAAACCUGGAUGCUUCUCCAGCGCUAGGCAGGGAGCCUGACGCUCAGGCAGCUGCUCUUCAAGGGCAUCCAGCGAAGCCCCUUCUUGUCCUCUGAUCCCACCCUCGGGGACAACUGUGCCUGUGCCCGGCACUGUGCCAGAGGCUUUGCACACAUUGUCUCUUUUCAAUCCUCACAGCAAUAAUGGGGGAGGCACUAUUCUGGCCCCCAUUUUACAGAUGAGAAUACUGAGUCUCGGAGAGAUGCGCGAACCUUCUUCUCAAGGGCAUUUGGCAAGCAUCAAGGCCAGAACUUGAACCCUCUCAGCCCAGCGCCACUGUCCUGCUGGGAGCCCCAAGCCCUUACUUCACUCGCCCUGUUCCUUCUGAGACUGCCCACGCUCUGGCUAGUGCUGCC